CUGAGUCGUCAACACGAGUUGUUGCUGGUCCUCGAACAGGGGACAUGUGCACGCUCUGUUUACACAUCCACUCACACCUGUGCACCCUCUGUAGUUCUAUGGUCUGGGGGGCCCUGCCUCCCUUCCGUGGUUCUAUGUAUUUACACACACACACUGUAGUAAAGUCUCAUGGAAUGCAUACCGCGUUUAACGCAAUAUAAUA
This 202-nucleotide unclassified non-coding RNA is filed under the name uncultured Thelephoraceae. RNAcentral describes it as "sequence contains ITS1". The record is from RNAcentral. Lineage: Eukaryota; Fungi; Basidiomycota; Agaricomycetes; Thelephorales; Thelephoraceae.